UGUCGUAGCAGCUGGUGUGAGUGUGUGUCUCCGAGGCGCACGCGAUGCAGAGCUUUGAUGCUCGAGCUCUCCUCCACCAACAAGAUUCACUUUAAGACACAGCUGAAGGAAACAGGAAGACGGCGCGUCAUAAGCUUGGUGAUGUAACGGUUCGUACCUACCAAUAAGAACUGUCCAUCGGGUCCGGGAGGAGUACAACGCACUAAACUUGACCGAGGAAUGGGACUCCGACAGGCAAAAAAAACUCUUACUUAUCACUUUCUUUACAAAUCAAGAGGUCUCGGGGUCCCUGGAUAAAAAGGUUCUCGCUUGGAGAGGAGAAAAGAGAAGAGGAGAGCAGGAGAGAGACGGCAGCGAGCGCUGGGAAUGAGUAGGCGUCUCACACUCUUACCAGGCCCAACAGGAUGCACAACCUUACGACUUGAUGUAUUCAAGUGUAAUCAGAGACACGCUCACUAGAGAACCAGGUCCCUGCAGCAGGACAAUGCUCCAUGACACACAGCCAGGUCAAUCAAGGUGUGGAUGGAGGACCACCAGAUCAAGACCCUGUCAUGGCCAGCCCAAUCUCCAGACCUGAACCCCAUUGAAAACCUC
Molecule: long non-coding RNA, 594 nt
Organism: Salmo salar (Atlantic salmon)
Lineage: Eukaryota; Metazoa; Chordata; Actinopteri; Salmoniformes; Salmonidae
Source: RefSeq, a predicted model, not a curated record